AGGUUCUCUCUUCAGAAGUCCAUCCCUUCAUCGCUUUCACACCAGUCUGACGGAGCAUCGGUGCCAAAGCGACUUCAGCUAUUUUCACAAGAUUCAGGCCUGCAAUCUUAAGUGGGAUGCAAAAAACCCAAAGCCAGCCAUGUGCCAGUGGCAGAUUUCCACAAUGAGUUUGCAUUGCAACAUUAAUGAUGGCUUCGUCCCGGUACGACAUGACAGCGAGCCAGCAUGCACAGUAGCAGGACCCUGAAACUGAAGCAGCUAAAUGGAAUUCAGCCAAACACUUCCAAAUGUCUUCUAUGAAAAAGGUAUAUUGUCACUAGAUUGAAUUACAUUAGAUACUGCACCUGUGGCUACAUUUUAAAUACUUAUGUCAAAGCAGGUGUUUUCAUUUGUCAAAGGCAAAGUAUCGGCUAUGGCUUCACAAGAUUUUGGCCAGAAGUUUAGCAUGCUGAACAGUUUAAACCCACAGAGAGUAGUGCAGCAGCAGUUUAAUGCCCAAUGUGAUUCAGUGUUGAUUUACCAUUUAAUACCUGUACUGAUUGAUCCAUAAAUCACAUUCUCUUAUUGUCUUCCACCGCCUGCCAAUGAAGGUUAAAGAUAAUUCAUAAAGUUUUACAGUGGCUGGCUCUGGCAUACAUAACUGAGCUGCUGAGCUCUUACAGCACUGCAAGGUCAGUUAGGUUCUCUUAUUAAAAGGACUCAGACGUUCCUUGUUCCCUUCUUAAAACCAGAGGUGAUGCUGCCGUUACUGUUCAGGACGCCACGCAACGCUUCAGGCAGCACCUUAAGACCUUAUGUGUAUAUUUGUCUGGGCAUUUGUUUUUAUGCAUGUGUUCUUGUAUGUAACUUAUAUUUAAAACUCUAUGGCAUUUUGUAAUCUUAAUUCUCCCAUAUGAUAAAUGAAGGCAAACUAACUUGUGUGAAACUGCUUCUUGCCUACUACAA
Molecule: long non-coding RNA, 945 nt
Organism: Siniperca chuatsi (mandarin fish)
Lineage: Eukaryota; Metazoa; Chordata; Actinopteri; Centrarchiformes; Sinipercidae
Exons: 3
Source: RefSeq, a predicted model, not a curated record